RNAcentral lists this ribosomal RNA (268 nucleotides) under uncultured bacterium. RNAcentral describes it as "partial 16S ribosomal RNA". It matches the Rfam family "Bacterial small subunit ribosomal RNA", at positions 1224 to 1500 of the family's 1533-position model. The record is from RNAcentral.
GUUACAAUGGCAGGUACAGAGGGAUGCUACCGGGCGACCGGAUGCGGAUCUCGAAAGCCUGUCCCAGUUCGGACUGGAGUCUGCAACCCGACUCCACGAAGUUGGAUUCGCUAGUAAUCGCGCAUCAGCCAUGGCGCGGUGAAUACGUUCCCGGGCCUUGUACACACCGCCCGUCAAGCCAUGGGAGCCGGGGGCGCCUGAAGUCCGGGACCGCGAGGACCGGCCUAGGGCGAAACUGGUAACUGGGGCUAAGUCGUAACAAGGUACC